Molecule: ribosomal RNA, 806 nt
Filed under: uncultured Pelagibacteraceae bacterium
Lineage: Bacteria; Pseudomonadati; Pseudomonadota; Alphaproteobacteria; Candidatus Pelagibacterales; Candidatus Pelagibacteraceae
Description: bacterial SSU rRNA
Rfam family: Bacterial small subunit ribosomal RNA
Source: RNAcentral
ACGCUGGCGGCACGCCUAACACAUGCAAGUCGAACGAAGUAGCAAUACUUAGUGGCAGACGGGUGAGUAACAUGUAGGUAUCUGCCCUUUGGCCUGGAAUAACACGAGGAAACUUGUGCUAAUACCGGAUAAGUCUUUACGGAGAAAGCUUUAUGCACCAUUGGAUGAGCCUGCACUUGAUUAGUUUGUUGGUGGGGUAAUGGCCUACCAAGACUGUGAUCAAUAGCUGAUUUGAGAGGAUGAUCAGCCACAUUGGGACUGAGACACGGCCCAAACUCCUACGGGAGGCAGCAGUGGGGAAUCUUGCACAAUGGAGGAAACUCUGAUGCAGCGAUGCCGCGUGAGUGAAGAAGGCCUUUGGGUUGUAAAGCUCUUUCGUCGGGGAAGAAAAUGACUGUACCCGAAUAAGAAGGUCCGGCUAACUUCGUGCCAGCAGCCGCGGUAAUACGAAGGGACCUAGCGUAGUUCGGAAUUACUGGGCUUAAAGAGUUCGUAGGUGGUUGAAAAAGUUGGUGGUGAAAUCCCAGAGCUUAACUCUGGAACUGCCAUCAAAACUUUUCAGCUAGAGUAUGAUAGAGGAAAGCAGAAUUUCUAGUGUAGAGGUGAAAUUCGUAGAUAUUAGAAAGAAUACCAAUUGCGAAGGCAGCUUUCUGGAUCAUUACUGACACUGAGGAACGAAAGCAUGGGUAGCGAAGAGGAUUAGAUACCCUCGUAGUCCAUGCCGUAAACGAUGUGUGUUAGACGUUGGAAAUUUAUUUUCAGUGUCGCAGCGAAAGCGAUAAACACACCGCCUGGGGAGUACGACC